AUGUGUCUGCAGCCGGUGAGGAAGCCCAGGCACACAGAAUCCUGCAGACCUCCCCAGCCCCUCCGCAUCCACAGAGAGCACUCAGGAACCAAAUGGACAUUUUCUCCCAGGUACACUUACUGUAAUGAAAUCCAUAGACUGGACAAGAAGCAUCCUUUAGGUAGGCUCUUUUAUACAUUAAGUGGAAACUCUUCUUCUGUGUGUUGUCUUUUCAGAAGGAAGCACUGUCCCUCCCUGUCUGUGGAAAGGCUUCACCCAGACACACAGAAAGGAGGGCCGGAGGAACAUGAACUCUUUACUGUGUGUGUGUGAUGGGUGUGAUUUAUUGCACCUUCCUUUAAGGCCUGGAGGCUGAUGCAGGGGGCAGUGGAGGCGGCAUGACGUAGGGUCAUUAUUGUACCCUUGGGCAGCACGGGUGUUUUCUAAGUGCUCUGGAAUCACUUAUUUACUAUCCCCACAGCACCUCCAGGAAGGAAGGUCAGCAUUAUCAUCCUGGCUUGGGAGGAGAUGGAUUUGAAACCCAGAAAGGUAGGAGGCAGGCCACGCUGAAUCAGUGCUGAGCCAUCUCCUCCAGCCAGGAUCUCAGUUAAUCUAUUCCUUCGGGAAAGGUAGCACUUUCCAUAGCCUCUGAAGACACCUGGAUGGGGAAAAGCCAGGGCACAAGCUUCAAGAUGCCGAUUCAUUCUGGUUAUUUCAGGAGAAAAAGUGAAUAGAAACUGAAAUUUAAUAUGUAUAUUCAGGAGAUCCACAAACUCUCUAGCGGUGAGGAACUAAAAGCAGUUGUAUAAGCCACACAUAGAAGUUGUUUACCGAGUGUCAAGGUUACCAGAUCCACGCUGUUUGUUAGUAGUAGAGUAGCCCACACCCAGUGGGCAGGCAGGGGAACAGGGCUGCAGGUCCCAAAGGUGCCCUAGCUCUUCUUAGCUGCCCUGCUUUGUGUUCUGUAAGGGAAUGGGUAAGAUUGGAGGUUUACUUGGAGCAGUAAAUUGGAACGCGAAGCAAUGCAUUCUGAUUCACCUCAGCCUCCCUACCCCCACCACACACACACACACACACACACACACACACACACAGGCAAUGCAGGAUUUUAACCUGCUGGCUUCACUAGAGAACCAGGAAGGAUGAGACCUGGGUUUGCAAGCUCAAAGAGGCAGGGUUGUCUCCCUCUCUGCUGGAAGAGAGAUGGAGGGGAGAUGCAGAGAUGAAGCCCAGAGAAAACCUCAAUGUAGUGGGUAUGAGUGUGGACCUGGCAAUAAAUAUGAGGCUGGCCCAAGGACCGUCAGCAUCAGCAUCACCAGGGAGCUCGUUAGAAAUGCCGAAUAUUGGCUCCCACACUGAUGUACCUGAUAGUCAGACUCUCUGAGGGCAGAGUCCAGGAAGCUGUGUAAUAAGUGCUCCAGGUGAUUCUUAUGUGUGCUAAAGACUGAGAAGCACUAGCUCUGGGGUCAGACAGCCUGCUCCAUCACUUUGGCUAUGUGACCCGACAGCCUCUCUAGGCCUCCAUUCCUACCUUUGUAAAUUGCAUACAGUGGCAAUACCUACCCCUUGGGGUUGUUGGGUAGUGAGAAUCAUAUGAGAAAUUGUGUGUAAAGCACUUUGAGCAGAGCCUGACACAUAAGGAACCCCCACUAAAGCAUACAGAAAAAAAAAAUACAGACUGUCCCUUCUUCAACUCUUAAACCCCACUUCCACCCAGAACUUGUGCUCCUGACUACCAUCCAAGGUUAACUCUUGGCCCAUGGUCAACUCGAACUGACAACAAACACUUGGAUCCUGACGAAGUCAUUCGUGACCCAUUCAUUCACAGAUCACAGGCAGUCCACAGGCAUUAUCCUUUAGUCCCUCACUAAAAUCCCUGUCUUUUCAACAGCUCUGGAUUUUGCCAAUCUUAGCUUGGUGAAUCUUCCCAAGAGGACAGAGACUUUCAGAGAAUCACCCAUAAAAUCUAGUGGUGCUUGGGGAAAUAGUGGGCUUGAACUCACUUCUCAUCUUGGUUUGCUGCUUAAUCAAUGUUUGCCCAGUAAAUGAAUGACUAUCAUUCAACUUGGAAAAUACAGUCACAGGUUAUGGUGACAGGAGACUGGACUGGGUUUCUUCUCUCAGUUUAUUGCAGAGAUUUAUUUAUGGUUCAUUGAUCCAUUUAGAGAUGCCAGGGCAGCUUGGCUUAUUGUGGCAUCCUGCCAGUUUUGCAUGCAUGCCAAACAAGCUCCUUUCCAGAUAAAAAUUAUCACAAUUUGUCGCACAAAUUUAAAACAAAACUUUAAAUCAUUCCUCAGAUAUGCAUUUCAAAAAAACAAAGAAAAGUUAAUAAGCCAUGGAUUCAUUUGGUGUAUUGUUAGAGAAAGUGAGAGUCAAAUCCUAAGACUAAUGAGCCUGGUAAACAUAAAUGUUGAUGGUGUGUGUGUGUGUGUGUGUGCAUGUGUGUGUGUGUGAGAGAGAGAGAGAGAAUGUAAACAAAGGAAGGCAGCCAGGAAGGAAAAAAAAAAAAAAAAGAUUCCAAUAGUACGGGGACAGGGGGAACCACAACAUAUAUAUGUAGUGAUACACAAAAAGGGGUCCAAGAACUUUUUCCCUCCUCCAAUCCUGUUGAGACCAAGGAGUUCUCUAUACUAGUGCUUCUCAAACUAGCCAUGUGUGAAGGACAAGUUUUUCUUUUGUUUUGCUUUAUCAUUUCCUGUCAUGGACCAAUGUUAUAAAUACAAUAAAAUGAAUUCUUUUGAAAAUUAUGUAAAAUAAAAGCACACUAACUACAUGGUGCUGUCCUUGCAGAGAGAUCAUUCCCUCAGCUUGCCCUCCCAUCAAGAGAGGAAACUAAAUGCUAUAUAAUCCACUUGGACAAUUCUAAGACUAUCAAGUGAGAAAAGGAUAGGACAUGGUUGCCCAUAGUUGUGGGUGACAGUGGUAGCAGACGUAGCCUAGCUCCCCAACCCCUCAUUCUGGAUAUAGCCUGCUGGUCUCACGAAUCAAGAAGUUUCACGCUAGAAACUCUCAGCAGCUCAGCAGAGGCCUAACCAAGGCAGGUACUAUAAGCAAACCUCCUACUCUGUCCCACUUUUGCUUUUUUCCUGGUUGACCAUGUCACACGGAGUCACGUACAUGCCCAGUGGAGAUAUAGAUUUGACAAGGCUUAGUAUGCAUAUUUGUUACUUAUUUUCUCUUUUAAUCAUAGUUACUUCUUUAAUCAUGGCAAGUAGUGCUUGCAAGAAGCAAAGACUGAGGAAACA
RNAcentral lists this long non-coding RNA (3224 nucleotides) under Canis lupus familiaris (dog). RNAcentral describes it as "lncRNA (ENSCAFG00030007184.1)". The record is from RNAcentral. Lineage: Eukaryota; Metazoa; Chordata; Mammalia; Carnivora; Canidae.